UAACGCGUGGAUAACCUGCCGUAUACAGGGGGAUAACACUUAGAAAUAGGUGCUAAUACCGCAUAAGCGCACGGUUCCGCAUGGAACAGUGUGAAAAACUCCGGUGGUAUACGAUGGAUCCGCGUCUGAUUAGCCAGUUGGCGGGGUAACGGCCCACCAAAGCGACGAUCAGUAGCCGGCCUGAGAGGGUGAACGGCCACAUUGGGACUGAGACACGGCCCAAACUCCUACGGGAGGCAGCAGUGGGGAAUAUUGCACAAUGGGGGAAACCCUGAUGCAGCGACGCCGCGUGAGUGAAGAAGUAUUUCGGUACGUAAAGCUCUAUCAGCAGGGAAGAAAAAAAGUCCUUUGGACUUUGGACGGUACCUGACCAAGAAGCCCCGGCUAACUACGUGCCGGCAGCCGCGGUAAUACGUAGGGGGCAAGCGUUAUCCGGAUUUACUGGGUGUAAAGGGAGCGUAGACGGCAGCGCAAGUCUGGAGUGAAAUGCCGGGGCCCAACCCCGGAACUGCUUUGGAAACUGUGCAGCUGGAGUGCAGGAGAGGUAAGCGGAAUUCCUAGUGUAGCGGUGAAAUGCGUAGAUAUUAGGAGGAACACCAGUGGCGAAGGCGGCUUACUGGACUGUAACUGACGUUGAGGCUCGAAAGCGUGGGGAGCAAACAGGAUUAGAUA
RNAcentral lists this ribosomal RNA (672 nucleotides) under uncultured bacterium. RNAcentral's name for it is "bacterial SSU rRNA". It matches the Rfam family "Bacterial small subunit ribosomal RNA", at positions 111 to 784 of the family's 1533-position model. The record is from RNAcentral.